CACCAUCCUGCAUAUUCUGCGGCA
Molecule: non-coding RNA, 24 nt
Filed under: Arabidopsis thaliana (thale cress)
Lineage: Eukaryota; Viridiplantae; Streptophyta; Magnoliopsida; Brassicales; Brassicaceae
Source: RNAcentral